UACGGAGGGUGCAAGCGUUAUCCGGAUUCACUGGGUUUAAAGGGUGCGUAGGUGGGUUGAUAAGUCAGUGGUGAAAUCUCCGAGCUUAACUUGGGAACUGCCAUUGAUACUAUUGAUCUUGAAUACCGUGGAGGUCAGCGGAAUAUGUCAUGUAGCGGUGAAAUGCUUAGAUAUGACAUAGUACACCAAUUGCGAAGGCAGCUGGCUACGCGAAUAUUGACACUGAUGCACGAAAGCGUGGGGAUCAAACAGG
This 253-nucleotide ribosomal RNA is filed under the name uncultured bacterium. RNAcentral describes it as "partial 16S ribosomal RNA". It matches the Rfam family "Bacterial small subunit ribosomal RNA", at positions 524 to 776 of the family's 1533-position model. The record is from RNAcentral.